RNAcentral lists this ribosomal RNA (423 nucleotides) under Tepidimonas sp. RNAcentral's name for it is "bacterial SSU rRNA". It matches the Rfam family "Bacterial small subunit ribosomal RNA", at positions 381 to 796 of the family's 1533-position model. Lineage: Bacteria; Pseudomonadati; Pseudomonadota; Betaproteobacteria; Burkholderiales. The record is from RNAcentral.
GCCUGAUCCAGCAAUGCCGCGUGCGGGAAGAAGGCCUUCGGGUUGUAAACCGCUUUUGGCAGGAACGAAACGGUGUCCGCUAAUACCGGGCGCUAAUGACGGUACCUGCAGAAUAAGCACCGGCUAACUACGUGCCAGCAGCCGCGGUAAUACGUAGGGUGCGAGCGUUAAUCGGAAUUACUGGGCGUAAAGCGUGCGCAGGCGGUUGUGUAAGACAGGCGUGAAAUCCCCGGGCUCAACCUGGGAAUGGCGCUUGUGACUGCACGGCUGGAGUGCGGCAGAGGGGGAUGGAAUUCCGCGUGUAGCAGUGAAAUGCGUAGAUAUGCGGAGGAACACCGAUGGCGAAGGCAAUCCCCUGGGCCUGCACUGACGCUCAUGCACGAAAGCGUGGGGAGCAAACAGGAUUAGAUACCCUGGUAGUCC